GACGAACGCUGGCGGCGUGCUUAACACAUGCAAGUCGAACGGAAAGGCCCUGCUUUUGUGGGGUGCUCGAGUGGCGAACGGGUGAGUAACACGUGAGUAACCUGCCCUUGUCUUUGGGAUAACUUCAGGAAACUGGGGCUCAUACCGGAUAGGAGCUCCUGCUGCACGGUGGGGGUUGGAAAGUUUCGGCGGUUGGGGAUGGACUCGCGGCUUAUCCGCUUGUUGGGGGGGUAGUGGCUUACCAAGGCUUUGACGGGUAGCCGGCCUGAGAGGGGGACCGGCCACAAGGGGACUGAGAUACGGCCCAGACUCCUACGGGAGGCAGCAGUGGGGAAUAUUGCACAAUGGGCGGAAGCCUGAGGCAGCAACGCCGGGUGCGGGAUGACGGCCUUCGGGUUGUAAACCGCUGUCGCCUGUGACGAAGCGUGAGUGACGGUAAUGGGUAAAGAAGCACCGGCUAACUACGUG
RNAcentral lists this ribosomal RNA (468 nucleotides) under uncultured bacterium. RNAcentral describes it as "partial 16S ribosomal RNA". It matches the Rfam family "Bacterial small subunit ribosomal RNA", at positions 28 to 507 of the family's 1533-position model. The record is from RNAcentral.